This 817-nucleotide ribosomal RNA is filed under the name uncultured bacterium. Its description in RNAcentral is "bacterial SSU rRNA". It matches the Rfam family "Bacterial small subunit ribosomal RNA", at positions 66 to 881 of the family's 1533-position model. RNAcentral also lists the same sequence under 1 other name. The record is from RNAcentral.
GUAGCACAGAGAGCUUGCUCUCCGGUGACGAGCGGCGGACGGGUGAGUAAUGUCUGGGAAACUGCCUGAUGGAGGGGGAUAACUACUGGAAACGGUAGCUAAUACCGCAUAACGUCGCAAGACCAAAGGGGGGGACCUUCGGGCCUCUUGCCGUCAGAUGUGCCCAGAUGGGAUUAGCUAGUAGGUGGGGUAACGGCUCACCUAGGCGACGAUCCCUAGCUGGUCUGAGAGGAUGACCAGCCACACUGGAACUGAGACACGGUCCAGACUCCUACGGGAGGCAGCAGUGGGGAAUAUUGCACAAUGGGCGCAAGCCUGAUGCAGCCAUGCCGCGUGUAUGAAGAAGGCCUUCGGGUUGUAAAGUACUUUCAGCGGGGAGGAAGGCGAUAAGGUUAAUAACCUUGUCGAUUGACGUUACCCGCAGAAGAAGCACCGGCUAACUCCGUGCCAGCAGCCGCGGUAAUACGGAGGGUGCAAGCGUUAAUCGGAAUUACUGGGCGUAAAGCGCACGCAGGCGGUCUGUCAAGUCUGAUGUGAAAUCCCCGGGCUCAACCUGGGAACUGCAUUCGAAACUGGCAGGCUAGAGUCUUGUAGAGGGGGGUAGAAUUCCACGUGUAGCGGUGAAAUGCGUAGAGAUCUGGAGGAAUACCGGUGGCGAAAGCGGCCCCCUGGACAAAGACUGACGCUCAGUGCAAAGCGUGGGGAGCAAACAGGAUUAUAUACCCUGUAGUCCACGCCGUAACGAUGUCGAUUUGGGAGGUUGUGCCCUUGAUGCGUGCUUCCGGACUAACGCGUUAAAUCACCCGCCUGGGGGAGU